GGUGGGAUGGCAGAGCGGUUGAAUGCACCAGUCUUGAAAACUGGCAUAGGUUUAUAGCCUAUCUAGGGUUCAAAUCCCUAUCCCACCGCCA
RNAcentral lists this transfer RNA (91 nucleotides) under Aeromonadales bacterium. RNAcentral's name for it is "tRNA-Ser". It matches the Rfam family "tRNA". From Rfam's summary of the family: Transfer RNA (tRNA) molecules are approximately 80 nucleotides in length. Their secondary structure includes four short double-helical elements and three loops (D, anti-codon, and T loops). The record is from RNAcentral. Lineage: Bacteria; Pseudomonadati; Pseudomonadota; Gammaproteobacteria; Aeromonadales.